Molecule: regulatory RNA element, 138 nt
Organism: Roseburia sp. CAG:197
Lineage: Bacteria; Bacillati; Bacillota; Clostridia; Lachnospirales; Lachnospiraceae
Rfam family: Ribosomal protein L10 leader
About the family: This family is a putative r-protein leader autoregulatory structure found in B. subtilis and other low-GC Gram-positive bacteria. It is located in the 5' untranslated regions of mRNAs encoding ribosomal proteins L10 and L12 (rplJ-rplL).
Source: Rfam
UAAUAGCAAAGCAUAUUGCCGAAGACAGCAGGUUCCGCAAGGAGUAAACGAAGUGCCUGCCGAGGGAAUUUUGAUGAAUAGAUCGUCAUUAAGAUUAUUACCCUCUGUCGUCUGGCAGAGGGAUUUUUAUUAUACCUC